AUUUCCAUUUUGAGGGAAGAGCUCCGUAGAGGAAAGGUGUGGUGGGGGGUGGGGGUGCCGGAAGGUCCAGGGCGGGGCGGGGGUGCCGGCCGGGGUGGAACUAGGAACUGGCCCCGGCUCGCGGCCCGGCCGCUGCCCCCUGCUGGGGCGAGCCCGACGCGCGGUGCGGAGCGGGCGAGGGGGCGUGUGUGCGGCCGCUCCUGGGGGGGCUGGUCCCCUCGGAGCCCGGGACUGCCGUGGCGGCCCCGCGCGCCCGGGCCCCUGCGCACCCGGGAGUGGGGGUCCCCGCCCCCCGCCCGCCGGGCCCCCGGCGGUUGCCAUGGUGACGCAGGGUCGGCGGCUCGGCGCAGUGGAAACAAAGCGGCCCGCCCGCUCCCGGCCGAGCUCCUCCUCCGCGGCGCCUCCCUCCCUCGCUCGCUCCCUCGCUCGGUCCCUCCGGGUCCCGCCGCCGCCGCCGCCGCCGCCGCCGCCGCGGGCCAGGUAAGGCGAGCGCGCCUGCGGCCGGGGAGGGCUGGGGGCCGCGCCCCCGACGCCCCGGGGCCUCCCCGCGCCUCCCGCUCCCCGACGGCCGCCGAGCAUCCCGGGCGCUGCGCGGGGCCCGGGGCUCCCUCCGCCCGGCCGGCCGCGGGGACUGUGCCCCCGGGGACCGCGGCGUUUGCCGCCCUUCGGACGCGCCUGCCUCCCCGCUGGUCCUGUUUGAGGACGGGGCGGGAGGGGGAGGCUCGCAGGGCCAAGAAGCCACACAUUUCUUUUUUUUUUUUUUUUUUUUUUUUUUGCAGUUUCUGGAAAGUGAGCCCAUACUUCGGUGCCCACGACCCGAAGCCUUCGGGUGCUCCCGAAGUUCACUUGGAUUUCGAGCACGGCCACCUUUGUGGAAGGUGCAGUUACACCUGUAAGGGGACGGGGAGGGGAGCCGCGUUUCCCACCCAGGCAACGAGCCGAGUCGGUGCAGCCGCAGGACCGUGGGGGACCUCUCAUGUGGCCUUUGUAAAUGUGGGUUUGCGACAGAGUGAAUGUAGAAGCUGAAAAUGCCUGGAAGAUUCCUGGUUUCUGUUGCUACAUGCCCUGCCUUUUUGCAUCACCGCCUGAUUCGGAUGAGGUGAUGUUCAGAGGGACGCCUUAAUCGACACUGUUGUCAGCGAGUGGCCUCUAGCUAGA
This 1158-nucleotide long non-coding RNA is filed under the name Canis lupus familiaris (dog). RNAcentral's name for it is "lncRNA (ENSCAFG00040018305.1)". Lineage: Eukaryota; Metazoa; Chordata; Mammalia; Carnivora; Canidae. The record is from RNAcentral.